UAUUUUGUGAUUAAAUGUAGC
Molecule: non-coding RNA, 21 nt
Filed under: Caenorhabditis elegans
Lineage: Eukaryota; Metazoa; Nematoda; Chromadorea; Rhabditida; Rhabditidae
Source: RNAcentral